AUAGUCCAGUUCAAAAGCAGGUCUGAUUUCCUGAAGCAAGCACAAGCCCUUCCUUCUGAGAUCCAGUGUCAAGAGUGAGCGGGAUGAGGAUGGGACCCCGAGCACAGCUAGCCAAGCCCAUUCUAACCUAAUGGAAAUCUGAUAUACGGUCCAGACAUUCCUAAGUGACAAAUUUCUAUACUCAAACUGCUUGCUGACAUCCAUAUAGCAUGAAGUGAUUUGGUUUUCCUGAUUCUGCAGUCAGUGCGUGGCCUCAGCUCCAUCUCACCGUGCCCCUUCCCGAGCAGGAAGCCUGCCAGAUGGCUGCAGGACCUGAUCUCACCUCCAGGCUGCUUCACAGAACCGACACUGUCUUACAAGGUUUUAUCCAAGCUUGAAAGCUUCUUAUUUCUUCCAUCAGUCUCAUAAACAUUUUCAUCCCUGAUUAGAAUUCUAUUUCCCAAAAAAUAUCUCAAAAUGCUUCACAGACCCACAAGUUGCAUGUUUAUCACCUACUGCUGGGCUCAGCUACACCAGCACAAACCCCACACCACUGCAAUGAACUGGGACUGAACUAACCAGGAUUUACACUGACGAAGCUCAAUGCGUUAUUUAAACCCUUUUACACAAGGUUGCCAUGAGAUGCUCCCUCUCCCCACUAUAAUAGGCUGCACAUUAA
Long non-coding RNA from Pipra filicauda (Wire-tailed manakin), 658 nucleotides. RefSeq lists it as uncharacterized. The record is from RefSeq and is a predicted model, not a curated record. Lineage: Eukaryota; Metazoa; Chordata; Aves; Passeriformes; Pipridae. The transcript is spliced from 3 exons.